AUGAUCUACCCCCAGAAAGCUGCAGUGGUCAAUGCAACUACAACAAGGCCGCGACGGUGGUUGCCGCCCGUUGAGAAUCAUGCUAAAAUAAACACGGAUGCAGCAGUCGGUGGACGGGGACGCUUUGGUGCGGUUGCAGCAAUCUGCCGUGAUGGUGGGGGGACAUUUGAAGGUGCGUCGGCAGUCGUAUACAAGACUAUUGGAGACCCGGCUACGCUCGAAGCCUUAGCCAUCAGAGAGUCCCUCUCCCUUGCUGAUGAUCUAUACCUCUAG
Molecule: ribosomal RNA, 273 nt
Filed under: Triticum aestivum (bread wheat)
Lineage: Eukaryota; Viridiplantae; Streptophyta; Magnoliopsida; Poales; Poaceae
Description: partial small subunit ribosomal RNA
Source: RNAcentral